Molecule: ribosomal RNA, 519 nt
Filed under: uncultured eukaryote
Lineage: Eukaryota
Description: SSU rRNA
Rfam family: Eukaryotic small subunit ribosomal RNA
Source: RNAcentral
AGGGCACCCCCAGGAGUGGAGCCUGCGGCUUAAUUUGACUCAACACGGGGAAACUCACCCGGCCCGGACACCGGAAGGAUUGACAGAUUGAUAGCUUUUUCUUGAUUCGGGGGAUGGGGGUGCAUGGCCGUUCUUAGUUCGGGGAGCGAUUUGUCUGGUUUAUUCCGAUAACGAACGAAACUCUGGCCUAUUAAAUAGACGGUGUAUCUUGAAGUAUACCGCGCUCCUUAGAGGGACAAGCGGCGUCUAGCCGCAUGAAAUAGAGCAAUAACAGGUCUGUGAUGCCCUUAGAUGUCCGGGGCUGCACGCGCGCUACACUGAAAGAAUCAGCGUGCGAUUAGCCUGGCUCGCAAGAAUCGGGUAACCCAAGUAAAUUCUUUCGUGCUUGGGAUAGGGAAUUGCAAUUAUUUCCCUUAAACGAGGAAUUCCCAGUAAAUGCGGGUCAUAAGCUCGCGUUGAUUACGUCCCUGCCCUUUGUACACACCGCCCGUCGCUACUACCGAUUGGAUGACUUAGUGA